This 479-nucleotide ribosomal RNA is filed under the name uncultured bacterium. RNAcentral describes it as "partial 16S ribosomal RNA". It matches the Rfam family "Bacterial small subunit ribosomal RNA", at positions 28 to 523 of the family's 1533-position model. The record is from RNAcentral.
GAUGAACGCUGGCGGCGUGCUUAACACAUGCAAGUCGAACGAUUAAGACCCCUUCGGGGGUGUAUAGAGUGGCGAACGGGUGAGUAACACGUGGGCAACCUGCCCCUUCCUCUGGGAUAACACGGAGAAAUCCGUGCUAAUACCGGAUACUCCACAUCUGCGGCAUCGCGGAUAUGGGAAAGCUCCGACGGGAAGGGAUGGGCCCGCGGUCCAUUAGCUAGUCGGUGGGGUAACGGCCUACCGAGGCGACGAUGGAUAGCCGGGUUGAGAGACCGACCGGCCACAUUGGGACUGAGACACGGCCCAGACGCCUACGGGAGGCAGCAGUGGGGAAUUUUGCGCAAUGGGGGAAACCCUGACGCAGCAACGCCGCGUGCGGGAUGAAGGCCUUCGGGUUGUAAACCGCUUUCAGCAGGGAAGAAUACAGACGGUACCUGCAGAAGAAGCUCCGGCUAACUACGUGCCAGCCGCCGCCGUAA